Molecule: ribosomal RNA, 450 nt
Filed under: uncultured bacterium
Lineage: Bacteria
Description: bacterial SSU rRNA
Rfam family: Bacterial small subunit ribosomal RNA
Source: RNAcentral
ACUCCUACGGGAGGCAGCAGUGGGGAAUCUUGCGCAAUGGGCGAAAGCCUGACGCAGCCAUGCCGCGUGAAUGAUGAAGGUCUUAGGAUUGUAAAAUUCUUUCACCGGGGACGAUAAUGACGGUACCCGGAGAAGAAGCCCCGGCUAACUCCGUGCCAGCAGCCGCGGUAAUACGGAGGGUGCGAGCGUUAAUCGGAAUUACUGGGGCGUAAAGCGCAUGCAGGCGGCCUGUUAAGUCAGAUGUGAAAGCCCGGGGCUUAACCUCGGAAUUGCAUUUGAAACUGGCAGGCUAGAGUCUUGUAGAGGGGGGUAGAAUUUCAGGUGUAGCGGUGAAAUGCGUAGAGAUCUGAAGGAAUACCAGUGGCGAAGGCGGCCCCCUGGACCAAAGACUGACGCUCAGAUGCGAAAGCGUGGGGAGCAAACAGGAUUAGAUACCCUGGUAGGAUAGCG